CACCGCACACGGACCGGUCCGCGUCUCAGAGCCGCAUCGUCCCCCUGGUGCUGCCGGCGUGGCUCUGUAUCUGGAGCUUUACCGGAGCCCACCGUGCACCUCUGUAAAACUGCCGGCACUGCCUGGGGGCCGCGGGACACGCGCAGGAGGACCCCAGGCCUGGUCGCCCCCUUGAACACGGCGGGCUGUUGCCGGGAGAGCCGCCCGGGGACGCGACCACGCCCUGUGGAUGAGGGGUGCCGACACCCGGGCACGCGCAAUGGUUACCUACGCUUAGGGGCCGGAUUCCACGUUCCGCCCGUGAAACGCGCGCCCCGCUCUCCAGAACGGGAGGGGAUGUUUACUAGGCAUAUUGGACAGACUGGUUUUCCAGUGAAGUCAUAACUGAAAUGCUGUAUGUUGCCGUUGUGCUCGGAUGCGCACUGGUGAUGCUUCAUCUGCUGUGCGCGCAGCGCGCCUCCAUCAUCACAGAAGCGGGGCGCAGCGCGGCGGGGAGACCUCGGACACCUCCAGCCGAGGCCACCUGCCACUCCCCACCUUCCAGGGCCCUCCGGACUCCAUCUUCUCUCCGUCCCAGCUUUCCCACCUGGCUCCUGUCUGGGGGCAGGCCUGCGGAGAGCUGAUUCCUGUCCUUCCCCACGGGGACAGUGGCUUGGGGUGGCCUGAGCGCACUCUUGUUACUCUGCCAAAAUGCAGCCUAAAGCAUUCUGAUUGUUAAAUAAUUCAAAAAACGUUCAUCUGUCUUUGCUGCUCUUGUGAAACUCAGAUCAAACCCUACACCUUAGAAGUACCCGUUCUUUGCAGCCGAUCCCACUGCAGUGUACACAGAACAGAAACCGAGGGAAGCCGGCAGAGUCAGGAGUCCCGAACGAUUCCCACGGGACAAGCGCACCGCCUAACAAGGGACAGGAAAAAGAGGCAGCGGGCAGGGGCAGAAAAGGGCACGCUGAGGUGCGCUCGCGCCCCAGAGGAGC
Long non-coding RNA from Acinonyx jubatus (cheetah), 974 nucleotides. RefSeq lists it as uncharacterized. NCBI's taxonomy places the organism in Eukaryota, Metazoa, Chordata, Mammalia, Carnivora, Felidae. The record is from RefSeq and is a predicted model, not a curated record. The transcript has 3 exons.